This 254-nucleotide ribosomal RNA is filed under the name uncultured bacterium. Its description in RNAcentral is "partial 16S ribosomal RNA". It matches the Rfam family "Bacterial small subunit ribosomal RNA", at positions 524 to 776 of the family's 1533-position model. The record is from RNAcentral.
UACGGGGGGGUGCGAGCGUUGUCCGGAAUCACUGGGCGUAAAGGGCGCGUAGGUGGUUUGAUAAGGGUGUGGUGAAAGCCCGGAGCUCAACUCCGGGUCUGCCGUGCCGACUGUCAAACUCGAGGGCUGUAGAGGCAGACGGAAUUCCGGGUGUAGCGGUGGAAUGCGUAGAGAUCCGGAGGAAGACCGGUGGCGAAGGCGGUCUGCUGGGCAGUUUCUGACACUGAUGCGCGAAAGCCAGGGGAGCGAACGGG